RNAcentral lists this long non-coding RNA (429 nucleotides) under Phoenix dactylifera (date palm). RNAcentral's name for it is "long non-coding RNA (PDAC_LNC000457)". The record is from RNAcentral. Lineage: Eukaryota; Viridiplantae; Streptophyta; Magnoliopsida; Arecales; Arecaceae.
GCAAAACCUUCAUUUCUUUUCUCCUAACUCCCCAGAACUGCACCCAUAUCAUUAGAACACAGAACCAAAGAAAGACAAGAAAAUCUAAGCAUAAAGAAAACAUAAACCAGACCAGUAGAAAUCAUCUACUCCCACAAAUCGUAUCGUUAAGUAAUUCAUGCUCGGUUCUGAAGAUAUCAGACAUCGAAUCUGGACUCCUUAGCACAGCCGUCACCUUAUCGUCUCGAGUUUUCACCUUUCUUUGCACCCUUUGAACUGACCGCAUGAAUCAAAGUUCUUACAAUACGAAUUUUAACCUGACCUCGUUUUGGUGGCAGAGACUUUUCUUUCUGCAAGUUGCGGGAGAUAUGAUAUUCCAUUGCCGCAAGCUGUUAAACAAAUGGAAAGGCUGCAGGUAGGACUCGGAUAGACCGUGAUGUUAAGAAGCUG